UGGCGGCAGGCCUAACACAUGCAAGUCGAACGGUAACAGGAAGCAGCUUGCUGCUUCGCUGACGAGUGGCGGACGGGUGAGUAAUGUCUGGGAAACUGCCUGAUGGAGGGGGAUAACUACUGGAAACGGUGGCUAAUACCGCAUAACGUCGCAAGACCAAAGAGGGGGACCUUCGGGCCUCUUGCCAUCAGAUGUGCCCAGAUGGGAUUAGCUUGUUGGUGAGGUAACGGCUCACCAAGGCGACGAUCCCUAGCUGGUCUGAGAGGAUGACCAGCCACACUGGAACUGAGACACGGUCCAGACUCCUACGGGAGGCAGCAGUGGGGAAUAUUGCACAAUGGGCGCAAGCCUGAUGCAGCCAUGCCGCGUGUAUGAAGAAGGCCUUCGGGUUGUAAAGUACUUUCAGCGGGGAGG
This 414-nucleotide ribosomal RNA is filed under the name Salmonella enterica subsp. enterica serovar Montevideo. RNAcentral's name for it is "bacterial SSU rRNA". It matches the Rfam family "Bacterial small subunit ribosomal RNA", at positions 37 to 447 of the family's 1533-position model. The record is from RNAcentral. Lineage: Bacteria; Pseudomonadati; Pseudomonadota; Gammaproteobacteria; Enterobacterales; Enterobacteriaceae.